UUUAAUGACAUAUUUGAAACUAAAAAUCACAUUAAUCUUUCUUAAUUUUUCACCCCUGUAACUUAUUAAAAUAAACAUAGAAGUUUUCAGGGACUUUCGGCCCUCGGUCCUAACGUAAUCUUUCAUUCUGCGUUUAAAUUUUUCAAAAAUACUUAUUAGUUUUCUUAGGCCCGGUCUUUUCACCUCCGAAUAAAUAUGCUCUUAUCUGGCAGUUAGCUAUCUGGAGGAUAAAUAUUUAUUCGCCAGAUAAAAUGUACCCGUCUUUUCACGUCAAUUUAUGUUCCAGUUAGUUAUCCGGUAGAUAAGCUUAAAAGUAAGUUUGGAUUCGGAACACACCUGAUUUUUGUGUUUAUUUUUAUGCUUUGCUUUAACUUAACCUAACAUAAACAUAAUUAGAUUCACAUAAUCAAGACCAAGAUGAUUUUCUCGAUUUUAUUUCCAUUUUGGAAGAAGGAAAUAAAGAAAACAUUGAUUAUGGUGAAAAAGUUUACUGGAGAACUUGAACAAGAGGUAAAUAAAUUUUAAAUUAGUGGAAAACUGUUGAUUUGUAUGUAAAGAAGACAAAGACAAGUUUAAAUAAAGACAAGCUAGCUAAUGAAACAGAUGCAGUGUUACAGAUAUGACAAACAUCUAGAAGAUUCAAUCCUGCGUUCUUAAAGAAAAAAGCUAGUUCCAGUAGUAAGCUACCAAUAAUAAACUAGAGAAUGUAUUACAAGAAAGAACAACGCUAAUACUAAACAUACAUCAAUUGCUUCAGAUAGAAAAAGAGGACGAAAAGGUACAACACAAGCGUGCUAGAGAAAAUGAAAGGGCAGAAGAGAGACACAAAAAUUCAUUGAUUUAUUAAAUUUAAAAAUUAAAUUAUACAAAGGACAAUUAAAUAAAGAAUAAAAAAAUGAUA
RNAcentral lists this long non-coding RNA (901 nucleotides) under Diabrotica virgifera virgifera (western corn rootworm). Its description in RNAcentral is "uncharacterized LOC126880422". Lineage: Eukaryota; Metazoa; Arthropoda; Insecta; Coleoptera; Chrysomelidae. The record is from RNAcentral.